This 420-nucleotide ribosomal RNA is filed under the name Fusobacteriota bacterium. RNAcentral's name for it is "Fusobacteria bacterium partial 16S ribosomal RNA". It matches the Rfam family "Bacterial small subunit ribosomal RNA", at positions 355 to 776 of the family's 1533-position model. The record is from RNAcentral. Lineage: Bacteria; Fusobacteriati; Fusobacteriota.
UGGGGGAUAUUGCACAAUGGGCGAAAGCCUGAUGCAGCGACGCCGCGCGGGGGAUGAAGGCCCUCGGGUUGUAAACUCCUUUUGCUCUGAACAAGGCAUGCCUUUGGGGUGUGUUGAGUGUAGGGGUUGAUUAGCGCCGGCUAACUACGUGCCAGCAGCCGCGGUAAUACGUAGGGCGCGAGCGUUGUCCGGAAUUAUUGGGCGUAAAGGGCUUGUAGGUGGCUGGUUGCGUCUGUCGUGAAAGCUCAUGGCUUAACUGUGGGUUUGGGGUGGGUACGAGCUGGCUUGAGUGCAGUAGGGGGGGCUGGAAUUCCUGGUGUAGGGGUGGAAUGCGCAGAUAUCAGAAGGAAUACCGGUGGCGAAGGCGGGUCUCUGGGCUGUUACUGACGCUGAGGAGCGAAAGCGUGGGGAGCGAACAGG